GCCUCGGUGGUGGAAUUGGCAGACGCGUUGGACUCAAAAUCCAAUGGGAUUCACUUCCCGUGUCGGUUCGACUCCGACCCGAGGCACCA
This 89-nucleotide transfer RNA is filed under the name Candidatus Margulisiibacteriota bacterium. Its description in RNAcentral is "tRNA-Leu". It matches the Rfam family "tRNA". From Rfam's summary of the family: Transfer RNA (tRNA) molecules are approximately 80 nucleotides in length. Their secondary structure includes four short double-helical elements and three loops (D, anti-codon, and T loops). Further hydrogen bonds mediate the characteristic L-shaped molecular structure. tRNAs have two regions of fundamental functional importance: the anti-codon, which is responsible for specific mRNA codon recognition, and the 3' end, to which the tRNAs corresponding amino acid is attached (by aminoacyl-tRNA synthetases). tRNAs cope with the degeneracy of the genetic code in two manners: having more than one tRNA (with a specific anti-codon) for a particular amino acid; and 'wobble' base-pairing, i.e. permitting non-standard base-pairing at the 3rd anti-codon position. Lineage: Bacteria; Bacillati; Candidatus Margulisiibacteriota. The record is from RNAcentral.